Microtus ochrogaster (prairie vole) is the source of this 1442-nucleotide long non-coding RNA. RefSeq lists it as uncharacterized. The record is from RefSeq and is a predicted model, not a curated record. The transcript has 3 exons. NCBI's taxonomy places the organism in Eukaryota, Metazoa, Chordata, Mammalia, Rodentia, Cricetidae.
GGCUCCGCAGACCCGGGCCAGGGAAGCCCGCGCGCGUCGUCAGCAUCAGCGGGGCGGGGGACUCACUGAACCUCCCCUGUCGGGGUCUGCAGACCCCCCGGGCUGGCUAGCGGUCCCCUCCCUGGAUGCUUUAAGGGUGCUCAUCACCGUUGUCGAGCUACCCAUCUCCUGCGGGGACCCCGACGUCGCCGCCCCCUCCGACUCCCUAGCUGGUGUGCACCACUCUCAGUGCGGCCAGAGAUCUUCCUCCGAGCCCAGGCGCGGGGCAUGAGGAGCCCCCAAGUAUCGCCUGCAGACAACCCAGCCACGCGCACACCUCGCCAGCCGCUGACGGGGACAUGAGCAGUUCGAUCCAGCUCUGGUGCCUGGUGGCCAGCCUCAGCCGGCAGCGGCCAAUGGGUCCUUGCUGCCUGGGAGAAUGAGGCAGGAACCCGCGGCCACCUCUCUCUCCUCCUUCUCGCCUUCCUCUGGCUCCCGCGCCCCGGGCCCGGGCCAGGCUGUGGCUCUGCUGCGUGCCCUGCGCGCCCCCCACUUGCCUCCGGAUGCUCUUCUCGGUUAGUCUGGCGAGGAAGAUAAAGACAUUUGCAACCAAGAUGGUAAUCACGGGUGGAAAUGAUGAGGACCGGGGAGGCCAAGAGAAAGAGAGCAAAGAAGAGAGUGUUCUGGCCAUGCUGGGCAUCAUUGGAACCAUCCUGAACCUGAUCGUCAUCAUCUUUGUCUACAUUUAUACCACACUGUGAAUGGCCCCAGGCAGCCUCGGCUGCCUCAGGAUGGCCAUGAGACAAGGGUCCUGUGUGUCCACCUCUUGGUGACCAGACACUGCAGGGGGCCACACCUGCUCCAUCAAUGCACCUUCGAACUUUCUAACAGGUCACCAAAAGAACCCAUCCUGCUGUGAGGAGCAGACAACUCUGAAGCACAAUGAAUCCAACGGAACUCAUUCAGGCCACAAGGAACUUAGCGUCCCUGGCAGGGGACCUGGCGCGAUGCUGGAAAGACCAGCCUUUGGCAUGAGUGGUGAGCGAAAGGGUGAAGAAAUGCCUCACCCUGGAGUGCUGACCACCUCCCAGGACCUGCUCUUGGGGUGGUCCGUUCACAGGCAUCCCAUUCAUCAAAUGUUUCCAGCUGUUUGAUACGGAAGAUAACUUAUUUUUCAUUUUUCAUUGGCUUGAUGUGUGUAUCUGUUCAUACCAAGGUUUAUAAAUAUAUAUUUUUAAUAAAUGUGCUCUAUUUUUUAGCAUGAACCAAAUAUUUGGAGAAGCACUUCUGGAUCCAUAGCUUUUCAUGGUUUUAAUCGCUUUGCUCCAUCAAGCGCAGGAUGUCUUUUCUGUAGCCAUCCAGGUGUCUCAUCCAGUUCGUCUCUUUUGCUCUCAUGCUCUCCUCCUCCCCAUCUCUGCCUCUCCAUUCUCUCUUCUCUCGUUCCUGACUCCUGCCCACUCCCU